Zonotrichia albicollis (white-throated sparrow) is the source of this 1131-nucleotide long non-coding RNA. RefSeq lists it as uncharacterized. Lineage: Eukaryota; Metazoa; Chordata; Aves; Passeriformes; Passerellidae. The record is from RefSeq and is a predicted model, not a curated record.
GGUGAUCCCAGGGCUGGGAACUGCUGGGAUGGGCAGAACUGUUGGGAAUCUCAGUUAAAAACUCCCCCUGCUCCUUCCCAAGCAGCCCCCAACAGCUCCCACCUUCUUUAUUUUAAAUCAAAUACUGUUCUUGGGGGUCCAGGAUUCAUCCUUUGUGUAUCUGUUCCCAUCCACAGAUGUGGGGAAGGAGCUGCCUUGGAAAUAAACAUCUGGACACAGACACCCUUCUGUUCCAUCAGCCAGGAGUGCAGGCAAGUACCAGGCCAAGUUCUCCAACCAACACAUUGUCCCACGUCUCUGGAGAGGAGGAGGUGCCUGGUGACCAUCGGAGGAUUUAAUUUGCCAACAGAUGCUACAAAUACCAAAGCAACCUCCAUCUGCUGCUGUACAGAAUCUGAUCACAGGAAAAACCCAGGAGUCCAUAACUCUGGAGUGGUGAUGCUGGGGUGAAGCAGCUGAAUGAGGUUUGUGCAGUGUCCUCACUUUCUGGUAGAUUUUUCUCAAAACAUCUCUUUGACUCUUUCCUUAAAUCUGACCACUCCAGCCCCAUGGAAUGUGUACACAGAGGGGAAAACUGGAUGCACAGAGCUUCGAGGAGCAGAGCUGGUGAGUCAGAGAGGUUUGCAGAGCAAUGGAACUUAAUGGUUUCUGGGGGCUGAGGACAAACACCAUCCAUCUUUCUGUGUACUCUUGCAAGCACUCAGCAUUAAUAUCUGAGGGCCUUUUAGUGCCACUGAAGAAUUUAUUCUCACAACACCACUGGGAGAAGGGAUUUCAUGGCUUUAAUUUCAGCGUCAGUAAGAAUUUGAGAAACUGAGCCAUAGAGCUGUUGCUUUCCACUCAGCUCCUGUCUAUGGGUAUUGGCAAAAGAUUACCAGAUGAGAUAAAUGAACUAGAGAGUGUCCCAAGAAUUCUAUUCCCUUCCUAUGCAGCAGUGUUUCGAGAGCUUUGAAGACUUUGAGUGUGUGCAAUUGUUUCAGAUUUGGGCUAAGUCACCCCAGAUAGAACGUGCAACAGGCCAACAAACUGAAGGGUUGGGGUGUUUUGCAUUGAAUGGUCAAAAGCUGACAGUUUGCUGAAGGAGAAAAGAAUCUGAGGUUGUGAAAUGCAGGAGUUCAUUUCUCUGCCAAU